AUCAUUUGAAUCGUCUUAGGGCUCUGGGUCAUUUCCCCCUCUCCUCGCUGAUUGCCUGCCAUUCUAUCGCGCUCUAUUCAUCUUCUCAAUUCCUGUAGAGAGAGACUUGUUGUAAAUUUAGAGAGAGAUAGAGGAGAGAGAUACUUGGGAAUUCAAUGAGUGAGAAACCCUAGAACUCCAUCGUUCUGUAGGAUUGAAGGCAGCUGCAAGCUGGCAGAGUUAUGACUAAAAUAGAGCUUCCUCUUCGAUGGAGAGGUAUUGUAGAACUAGAAGACCAAGCAGCCUCUGAUUCUCUCAAAAUUAAGCGUUCGCAGAACUAUGGAAGAAUGGAUCUAAGGAUGAAGAUGAGGAAGACGAUUAGUGGCUGGUAUUAGUCAAGUGGCCUUUACUCUUUGGGUCCUAACAUAAUUGGCGUUGCUCUUCACUCUGUUGAUUAUCGCUUCUUAUGGCCUUGUCAGUUGGACCAUCCUUCUCGCAAUGGCUUGAAGUUGAUGGAAGAAAGCAAUGGAAGCAAGAACUUGAAUGAUGCAUAGGAGCUUACUGAGUUACAAGUUGAAAAGAGGACUGUUGGGUGUUACUGGGUUUAUGCAGUAAAAUAUCAACCUUAUGGCACCAUCGGGAGAUUAAAAGCUAGAUUUUCUGAACGAUACACCCAAACCUUUAGCAUUGAUUGCUCUGAAACUUUUGCUCUUAUUACUAAACUUAAUUCAGUUCGAGUACUUAUAUUUGUAGCAGCAAACAAGGGAUGGCUACUGCGGCAACUUGAUGUGAAGAGUGCCUUCUUCAAUGGUGAUUUACAAGAGGAGAUAUAUAUGUAGCGACUGCUUGGGUUUGUUGCUCAGGGGGAUUCAAACAAGGUGAGUAAGUUGAAGAAAGUUGUUUACGGGUUGAAGCAGGCCCCACAUGAAUGAUUUGUGGGCAUAUGGAUUUUGAUGCAGCAAUUCAGAUCAUUCGGUGUUUAUUUGGAAACAAGACUUAAAGAUAAUUGUCUUAGUUGUAUAUGUUGAUGAUAUUGUCAUUGCAAUCAAUGAUCAAGAAUAAUCAAUUAUUUGAAGAGAUAUCUAAAACAAUAUGUUCAGACAAAGGAUUUCGCCAGCUAAGGUCUUUGACGCCUUCAACUAUGUGAUUUUAUUGUCCAAGGGAAGCCUUAUAUGAUGUGGCAAUUGGGAACUAAUGGGCCCACUUUCCGAGACCUUCCAUGACUAGUUGGACUUCAUGUGAUUUAAGUGUCAGAGAGAGAGAGAGAGAGAACUAUCUCUGAGUGAGAGAGAGAGACUUCAUGUUGUUUAAAUGUGCUUGUGAGAGAAACCCAACCUACUGCAUGUUCAAGUUUUUCAUUUGUGCAUGAGAGAGAGACACUAGUCCAACUUGUCCAUCUAAGAGAGAGAGAGAGAGAGAGAGA
Molecule: non-coding RNA, 1402 nt
Organism: Amborella trichopoda
Lineage: Eukaryota; Viridiplantae; Streptophyta; Magnoliopsida; Amborellales; Amborellaceae
Source: RefSeq, a predicted model, not a curated record